This 19-nucleotide small RNA is filed under the name Arabidopsis thaliana (thale cress). RNAcentral's name for it is "ATSL240050". Lineage: Eukaryota; Viridiplantae; Streptophyta; Magnoliopsida; Brassicales; Brassicaceae. The record is from RNAcentral.
GUCUUCUUCCUCUUCUUCU